UCGCAGUGGGUUUUAGUCUUUAUUAACA
RNAcentral lists this small RNA (28 nucleotides) under Bombyx mori (domestic silkworm). RNAcentral's name for it is "ovarian small RNA-28611". The record is from RNAcentral. Lineage: Eukaryota; Metazoa; Arthropoda; Insecta; Lepidoptera; Bombycidae.